UACGUAGGGUGCGAGCGUUAAUCGGAAUUACUGGGCGUAAGGCGUGCGCAGGCGGUUGAUUAAGUCUGAUGUGAAAGCCCCGGGCUCAACCUGGGAAUGGCAUUGGAAACUGGUCAGCUGGAGUGUGGCAGAGGGGGGUGGAAUUCCGCGUGUAGCAGUGAAAUGCGUAGAGAUGCGGAGGAACACCGAUGGCGAAGGCAGCCCCCUGGGCCAACACUGACGCUCAGGCACGAAAGCGUGGGGAGCAAACAGG
RNAcentral lists this ribosomal RNA (253 nucleotides) under uncultured bacterium. Its description in RNAcentral is "partial 16S ribosomal RNA". It matches the Rfam family "Bacterial small subunit ribosomal RNA", at positions 524 to 776 of the family's 1533-position model. The record is from RNAcentral.